UGUGGAGAGGAGCUUAUCGAGAAGCCUGAGUCAGUAGGGUGAGCCAGGGACCCUAGAAGCUGAGCUCUCCUGGAAGCCUCCUAGACAAGGUCCGUAUCCAGCAGGCAUCAAAGAGGGCCUGGUUUCAGCCAGUGGGCCUCCAGACACUGGCUGCAAGCCCAGCCUGGCUAGGAUCACUCGUUGUCUUUGGAGAAGAGUCACAGUGGACAGACCUCCCCAGACUCCAAAGAAGGACAUUACCCUGAAAUGUAAUACUCAAGGUGAGGGAGAACCCAGACACGCACAAGGAUUUUGGUGCUGGGGAAUGCAGAAGGGUAUUUGGAGAAAGUGUGGAGGAAAAUCCUCUGGAUGUAGCCAGUGUAUCAAUGUAUGACGGGAAAGAGAGAGAAGUCAAAAUGACAUUGUUGCCCCCGAAGGAAAGACAGAAUGAGUGAACUGAUAUCAGUAAUAGAGACAAGAGGAAGAGGAGAAAGAUGUGAAGAUCGGUUUUGCCGUUUUAAGUUUCAGUUGGUGUUGGGACAUCCUGAAAGGAAAGUCAUAGAGGACAUUGAAGAUUCAAGACUGAAAAGAGGUUGUGAGGUGGUUGUUGAAUCCAUGAGGCUGGAUGAGGUUGCUCAGGGACAAGGUGCAUCUCAUAAUGUUUGAUCAAAUGUGUUAAAAAAGGCUGGCUUUCACCUGGAUUGUACUGGACAGCUUCCAAAUCUGACAGAACAUAUCAAAGAUGAAUGUGAAAGGGGAUUGAUUAUGGGAGUGGUGUCCGUUGAUCUCUGAGCUGCUUACAAUACAGUCAAUCAUUGUGGGCUCCUUGCCAAAGUACUAAUUGUAACGAAGAGCUACCACCUCACAAAGCUAAUAUAGACCAUGCUGGAGAACAGAAGAUUCUUCGUGAACUUUUGUGGCAAAUGGAGCUGCUGGUGAUGACAGAAGAAUGGCCUCCUUCAAACUAAUGUCUUAGCAUCUACAUUACUCAACAUCUACAAAAAUGAUCAGCCGAACUAGCUUAGCACAAGGUCCUUUAUUGACACAGAUGAUCUGUUCAUCAUCACAGAGCACAAGGAGUCUGGCAUAUUGGAGACUACUGUGGUGACUGCACUUAACAGCUUAGACAAGUAUUCUGUAGCCAAUCAAUUGUAUGCAAACCCAGUUCAGAUGCAAGUCAGUGCAUUUCAUCUGAAAAACUGAGAGGCCAAAUCUGAACUCAGAGCAGCUGGCUUGAGACAAAACUUACUCAUUCCAUAAUUCCUGCAUGUCUCCGUGGUACUCUCAACCACACACUCUCACACCAAGAAAACUAAAGCCAGGGUUAGCAUACAAAACAACAAUCUCAGCAAGCUGGCUACAUCAAAGUGGGAUAUAGACCCGUCCACUCAGUGAUCAACAGCGCUGGCACUUUGCUACUCAUCUGCUGAAUAUACCUGUGCAGCGGUGGCAUGAUCCUCUCACACAAAGAAGCUAGACCCUGUACUUAACACCACCAGCCACUACAGUACAGGAUGCCUUAAAUCUACUCAUGUCAACAUCCUUGCAGUUAUUGCUCCUCCUGAUAUACAUUGGUAAUUUGCUAGUAGAGUCGAGCUCACAAGGCAAUAUAUAGAUCCAAGACAUAAACUGUGUGAUAUAGCACCAGUGCUGAUUCAGUUGAAGUCAUGACAAAGUUUUCUUUCCACUGUUAAACCCCUAACAUCGUCAAACCAUUAUUGUCUUAAUCAACUCUGCACUGAAGUUGGCAGGUCUAGAGUCAUGAUGAUCAACUAGCUACAUCACUGGCCCCAAUUCCUGUGACUGCAGCAGAAUGCCUCAAAAUACGGAAGCAUCUCCUGCAAUGCCAACUGCUCAAGCACAAAUGCUCCUCCAGUGACCUGGCAGAGUGUAAUAAUUGCAUGUGCAUAGAUGUGGCGGGAAACAGAAUGAGAUCAUGAAGAGGAGGAGGAGGAGGACGCUCCCCAGAUUUGUGUGCAAUCGUUUCAGGUUCAAAGUUCAACUUUUAAAUACAAGCACACACACAAAUACAGUCCAAUCCAGUGGCUGCUUGGAUGGGGGACCCCACUUACCUUCUCUUAUCCCCUGAGGUGUGUGGGUAGCUGCAAUUAUAUUCCUCUCCAUCCCUUUCCCUUAAUACUAUUAUUUUCCCCUCCCCUUGCCAUCUACUUUCUGCCUCAUUCACAUUCAACCUUCAUUCUGGCCCACACUAUCUAGUUCACCCACAUACAUGUUCACUAUGUUCAACUGCCAUCCAUAUUUUCUCCACCCUUUCCCCUCAAGUUUCUUAUUCCUCAUAUUCUUCUUCUUUGUCACCCCAUUCCUUUGCACUACUUAAUCUCCUCUUGCAUCUCUUAUUCCCGUUCCUACUUCCCACUUCAUUGCCCCCUCAUUAUUCUCCCCACAUUUAUUUGAAAUCUCCUUUGCCUUUUCCUGCAUGCCUCAUUCAUUUGUUACCCUCAGUCUCCUCCGACCUUCACCCCAGAAUUACCCUAGCCUACACCCCCUCAGUCUUCUCUUGCUCUCCACAUUCCCCAGUUCCCAUUACUCCCCAGUUUCCCAUCUAGUCUCCUAACAAUAGGACAAAGGGUAGCUAUCUUCCCUAAGAGCUGCCUGGAUUCAAUCCCAUGGAACAUAAAGGGUGGGAUUGUGGCCAUUUUUUUCCAUGUGUGCAGCUAUAGGGAAAUGACAUUCCUCUUGACUGAGGCUGCUUGAAGGCUUCAGCUCCACUGAUUGUAACAGGAAAGAUUUUGACUAAGGGUAACAUUUGCAUGUUUGAUGGCAGAAAUCAGGAGAUCACAGGAAAUUUUAAAAACAUUGCAAGACUGUGAGAGCUGGCACUUCUGUCUUUGAUUCUUAAUCAUUUGGGGGUAAUCAAAAACCUUUGUAUUCUAUUCGUCUUAUCAAGAUGCUUAUCUAUAUUGCAUUAUGUAUAGCAAACAGGUCAGCAGGUGUAUAAAUUACACAGGUCAUUUAUAAUGCGAAAGAUUCUUAGGGACUGAGAAUUUAAUGGUGACUACAAUCAUGAUUAGUAGGUGGCUAUAAGUACAGAUUUGAGAAUAAUUAUAUUCUCUUUAUCUAAAUUCCCCUUGUAGUUUCAUUAAAUACAUUGUUCUUCAUUUAGUAUCCUAGGGCCCCAGGCCUAAUAUUACACUGAUUUAGGCAUAUGCAUAAAUCCUUCAAGGCUCAGGCCCCAAACUGCUAUGUGUUAUUGUGCUGUACCAGUUUGCCCAAAAGUGAUUUUAUUUCAGUGAGGCAAGAAGUGAUUAUUAUAUGUAGUUUGUGUUCUUGAUAUUCAAAACAUGAAAAGCCAAUAAUGUGAGCACAGUUGUGAAUGUAAUUUGUACACAAUUAUUGCAGUUGCACAUGCAGAUCAAUUAUUCAUAUGUGGAAAUGUCAGGUAAGGUAUCUAACAACGAAAAGGAAAACUGGUUAUCUAUCUCCAGCUCAUCUGAAUACCGGGUUAAUGAAGCUAGGCCAACUACUCAAAUACCUUUAGAUAAGAGCUAAUUUUCAUUAUUUCUGUCCACUCUGUUCUCUUCCCUUUUAUACCAUUAUCUAUUUAUUGUAACUGAACCAAUUUUCAGACCACUUCAUUAAAUUCCCUGUACAAUUAUAAAAUAAAAUAAAUAUCUUUCAUUUCCUCACAAAAACAGGGAAGUAUAUAUUAAAUAGUAUGUACCUAUACUAUAGUAUUUAAAGAAAUAGCUCAUAAUCAUUACAAGCUUUCUUCUUUUAAUGCAUGAAUGUCCUGAUUAUAAAAUGGUACCAAUAAUUCAUGCUUCUAAGUUAUAACUCAAUACCUAUAUUUUAUUAUCACUAAUCACAGUGAUACAAAUAUUAUUUGGCUUGAAAAGGCAAAGGAAUAGCUUCUUACUAGUUAUCUCCAAUCUCAGGGAUUAUCUGAGGAAAUGAUUAGACAUAGGGAAACUACAAGGUUCUCCCGUCACAGUGUCAUUUAAUUCAAACAUCAUCAUUAGCAUCCA
Molecule: long non-coding RNA, 3965 nt
Organism: Mauremys reevesii (Reeves's turtle)
Lineage: Eukaryota; Metazoa; Chordata; Testudines; Geoemydidae
Exons: 3
Source: RefSeq, a predicted model, not a curated record